RNAcentral lists this ribosomal RNA (465 nucleotides) under uncultured bacterium. RNAcentral's name for it is "bacterial SSU rRNA". It matches the Rfam family "Bacterial small subunit ribosomal RNA", at positions 28 to 507 of the family's 1533-position model. The record is from RNAcentral.
GACGAACGCUGGCGGCGCGCCCCCUUAUGCAAGUCGAACGAGAGAGAGGGAGCUUGCUUCCUCAAUCGAGGGGCGAACGGGUGAGUAACGCGGGAGGAACCUGCCUCAAAGAGGGGGACAACAGUUGGAAACGACUGCUAAUACCGCAUAACCCCACGGCUCGGCAUCGAGCAAAGGGAAAAGGAGCAAUCCGCUUUGAGAUGGCCUCGCGUCCAAUUAGCUAGUUGGGGAGGUAAUGGCCCACCAAGGCGACAAUCGGUAGCCGGACUGAGAGGUUGAACGGCCACAUUGGGACUGAAACACGGCCCAAACUCCUACGGGAGGCAGCAUUGGGGAAUAUUGCACAAUGGGGGAAACCCUGAUGCAGCGACGCCGCGUGGAGGAAGAAGGUCUUCGGAUUGUAAACUCCUGUUGUUGAGGAAGAUAAUGACGGUACUCAACAAGGAAGUGACGGCUAACUACGUG